UAAGGAAUAUUGGUCAAUGGACGCAAGUCUGAACCAGCCAUGCCGCGUGGAGGAUUAAGGCCCUCUGGGUUGUAAACUCCUUUUAUCUGGGAAGAAAUGUACUUUUUCUUGAGUACUUGACGGUACCAGAGGAAUAAGCACCGGCUAACUCCGUGCCAGCAGCCGCGGUAAUACGGAGGGUGCAAGCGUUAUCCGGAUUCACUGGGUUUAAAGGGUGCGUAGGUGGGCAGGUAAGUCAGUGGUGAAAUCUCCGGGCUUAACCCGGAAACUGCCGUUGAUACUAUUUGUCUUGAAUAUUGUGGAGGUAAGCGGAAUAUGUCAUGUAGCGGUGAAAUGCUUAGAUAUGACAUAGAACACCAAUUGCGAAGGCAGCUUACUACACAAUCAUUGACGCUGAGGCACGAAAGCGUGGGGAUCAAACAG
Molecule: ribosomal RNA, 423 nt
Filed under: uncultured bacterium
Lineage: Bacteria
Description: bacterial SSU rRNA
Rfam family: Bacterial small subunit ribosomal RNA
Source: RNAcentral